Molecule: ribosomal RNA, 226 nt
Filed under: uncultured bacterium
Lineage: Bacteria
Description: partial 16S ribosomal RNA
Rfam family: Bacterial small subunit ribosomal RNA
Source: RNAcentral
UGCGUAGGCGGAUCAAUAAGUCAGUGGUGAAAUCUCUCGGCUCAACCGGGAAACUGCCAUUGAUACUGUUGAUCUUGAGUUCGGUUGAGGUAGGCGGAAUGUGUAAUGUAGCGGUGAAAUGCUUAUAUUACACAGAACACCAAUUGCGUAGGCAGCUUACUAGACCGACACUGACGCUGAGGCACGAAAGCGUGGGGAGCGAACAGGAUUAGAUACCCUGGUAGUC